AUGGCGGAGGAACCGUCCGCCAAGCGUCAUCAUGCCGAGACGUCGGACAAGAGCAGCAACCUCAUCGACAUUCACGUCCCCGGCGAGAAGCGCGAGUACACAACAACCCUCAAAGGGGUUCAGCUCCACUACAAUGAGACACUGGAGAUCGUCUGCACCAGCAUACCAGAAAAGGCCGACAAGGUGAUCUCCAGGCUCUGGAAGAAGCUUGGCGGCAAGAGUCCGAAUCGUAGGAUCGUCGGCGUUGGUGUGCACUACACCAACAAAGGCGAACCUCCCUAG
Molecule: ribosomal RNA, 282 nt
Filed under: Triticum aestivum (bread wheat)
Lineage: Eukaryota; Viridiplantae; Streptophyta; Magnoliopsida; Poales; Poaceae
Description: partial small subunit ribosomal RNA
Source: RNAcentral